GACGAACGCUGGCGGCGUGCCUAAUACAUGCAAGUAGGACGCAGUUGCGAACGGGUGAGUAACGCGUAGGUAACUACCUAUUAGAGGGGGAUAACUAUUGGAAACGAUAGCUAAUACCGCAUACUAGGAGAUGGACCUGCGUUGUAUUAGCGAGUAGGUAGGGAAAUGGCCUACCUCGGCAACGGAACAUAGCCGGCGCUGGGGGGUGAUCGGCCAAACCGGGACUGGGGCACGGCCCAUACUCCCACGGGAGGCAUGAGUAGGGGAUCUUCGGCAAAGGGGGGAACCCUGACCGAGCAAAGGCGCGGUAUUGAAGAAGGUCUUCGGGUCGUAAAGCUCUGUUGUUAAGGAAGCGGUACUUAACCAGAAAGCGACGGCUAACUACGUGCCAGCAGCCGCGGUAAUAC
RNAcentral lists this ribosomal RNA (407 nucleotides) under uncultured bacterium. Its description in RNAcentral is "partial 16S ribosomal RNA". It matches the Rfam family "Bacterial small subunit ribosomal RNA", at positions 28 to 526 of the family's 1533-position model. The record is from RNAcentral.